Molecule: ribosomal RNA, 253 nt
Filed under: uncultured bacterium
Lineage: Bacteria
Description: partial 16S ribosomal RNA
Rfam family: Bacterial small subunit ribosomal RNA
Source: RNAcentral
UACGUAGGGUGCGAGCGUUGUCCGGAAUUAUUGGGCGUAAAGAGCUUGUAGGCGGUCUGUCGCGUCUGCUGUGAAAAUCCGGGGCUCAACCCCGGACUUGCAGUGGGUACGGGCAGACUAGAGUGUGGUAGGGGAGACUGGAAUUCCUGGUGUAGCGGUGAAAUGCGCAGAUAUCAGGAGGAACACCGAUGGCGAAGGCAGGUCUCUGGGCCACUACCGACGCUGAGAAGCGAAAGCAUGGGGAGCGAACAGG